This 1349-nucleotide ribosomal RNA is filed under the name uncultured bacterium. Its description in RNAcentral is "16S ribosomal RNA". It matches the Rfam family "Bacterial small subunit ribosomal RNA", at positions 1 to 1366 of the family's 1533-position model. The record is from RNAcentral.
UUCGCCCUUAGAGUUUGAUCCUGGCUCAGGACGAACGCUGGCGGCGCGCCUAACACAUGCAAGUCGAACGGAGCUUAGAGAGCUUGCUUUUUAAGCUUAGUGGCGAACGGGUGAGUAACGCGUGAGUAACCUGCCCUAGAGUGGGGGACAACAGUUGGAAACGGCUGCUAAUACCGCAUAAGCCCACGGUACCGCAUGGUACUGAGGGAAAAGGAUUUAUUCGCUUUAGGAUGGACUCGCGUCCAAUUAGCUAGUUGGUGAGGUAACGGCCCACCAAGGCGACGAUUGGUAGCCGGACUGAGAGGUUGAACGGCCACAUUGGGACUGAGACACGGCCCAGACUCCUACGGGAGGCAGCAGUGGGGGAUAUUGCACAAUGGGGGAAACCCUGAUGCAGCGACGCCGCGUGGAGGAAGAAGGUUUUCGGAUUGUAAACUCCUGUCGUUAGGGACGAUAAUGACGGUACCUAACAAGAAAGCACCGGCUAACUACGUGCCAGCAGCCGCGGUAAAACGUAGGGUGCAAGCGUUGUCCGGAAUUACUGGGUGUAAAGGGAGCGCAGGCGGGAAGACAAGUUGGAAGUGAAAACCAUGGGCUCAACCCAUGAAUUGCUUUCAAAACUGUUUUUCUUGAGUAGUGCAGAGGUAGAUGGAAUUCCCGGUGUAGCGGUGGAAUGCGUAGAUAUCGGGAGGAACACCAGUGGCGAAGGCGGUCUACUGGGCACCAACUGACGCUGAGGCUCGAAAGCAUGGGUAGCAAACAGGAUUAGAUACCCUGGUAGUCCAUGCCGUAAACGAUGAUUACUAGGUGUUGGGGGAUUGACCCCCUCAGUGCCGCAGUUAACACAAUAAGUAAUCCACCUGGGGAGUACGACCGCAAGGUUGAAACUCAAAGGAAUUGACGGGGGCCCGCACAAGCAGUGGAGUAUGUGGUUUAAUUCGAAGCAACGCGAAGAACCUUACCAGGUCUUGACAUCGUAUGCAUAGUCUAGAGAUAGAUGAAAUCCCUUCGGGGACAUAUAGACAGGUGGUGCAUGGUUGUCGUCAGCUCGUGUCGUGAGAUGUUGGGUUAAGUCCCGCAACGAGCGCAACCCUUACCAUUAGUUGCUACGCAAGAGCACUCUAAUGGGACUGCCGUUGACAAAACGGAGGAAGGUGGGGAUGACGUCAAAUCAUCAUGCCCCUUAUGACCUGGGCUACACACGUACUACAAUGGCAAUAAAACAGAGGGAAGCAAAACAGCGAUGUGGAGCAAACCCCUAAAAAUGUUCUCAGUUCAGAUUGCAGGCUGCAACUCGCCUGCAUGAAGUCGGAAUUGCUAGUAAUCGCGGAUCAGCAUGCCGCGGUGAA